RNAcentral lists this unclassified non-coding RNA (876 nucleotides) under Hevea brasiliensis (rubber tree). The record is from RNAcentral. Lineage: Eukaryota; Viridiplantae; Streptophyta; Magnoliopsida; Malpighiales; Euphorbiaceae.
GCCUUCUCCAAUUCAUCCCGUGCCAUUUCAUUUUCCUUAGGCCUUUUGUAGCGAUUAUGAACAAGAACAAUAAGGGGACUGAUGUCCUUAUAGACAGUCUCCUCCCACUCUGCAGUGGUCAAGUCUUUAACUGGACGAAUAUAAUCAUCAUCUUGCCAUACUAAUUCAUUGUCGUCAUCAUUUUCAUCGUCAUCUUUCUUAACAUUCUUGAUACUGAUCUUAUUGAAGAAUUGAUCCAAGUUAAAACCUCGCCCAUCAGCAUCUUCUGGCCAAUCAGGGUCUUCCUCAUCAACAACAAGAGGGUAAUCAGCCAAAAGCUUUUGCAUCUUUUGUCUUCUCUCAACAGGAUCUACCUCUUCCUCAACAUCAGGAGACAUUUUAAUGACAUCUCUUAUCUUCCUCCUCCAUUCCCGCCUUUCAUCCUCAUCCAUAUGAAAGUAAUCGUCCCUCUUAUGACCUCCAUCAGAAUCAGAUUCAGAUUCAUCUCCAUCAUCUUCCUCUCCAUUGCCAAAUUUGAGCAACUCUUCUAGCUUCGAAGCUUUUGAUCCCUUUAGUCUGAGACCCUGAACCGUCAAUUGGGACCUCCAAAAGUUUGGUACUGAUGGACCAAAAUUAUUCAAUUUCAAGGAACAGAGAUUAAAACUUCUCAGUCUGUUUUUCCUUUGUGGGAAAAUUCCAAACACUGAAGGGAAGCUUCUCAAGCAUUUCUCUUGUGAAGGUGGGGCCAAAAGCUGCAGUCUUAGGCUGUGUUGUAAUUCCAUUGUUUUGUUCAGAUUAGUGUUGUCUCACUUCUCCACAGGUCAGUGUUGGAGUGAGAGUUUUCCCCCAAUUUUGUUAGAGAUAAUGAAUAUUGGAUAAAAUAUUGACAGAAUAUGG